Molecule: long non-coding RNA, 1242 nt
Filed under: Phascolarctos cinereus (koala)
Lineage: Eukaryota; Metazoa; Chordata; Mammalia; Diprotodontia; Phascolarctidae
Description: lncRNA (ENSPCIG00000015467.2)
Source: RNAcentral
AGGGAAGUCUUGACAAAGUUGGGCGAAGGGAAGCUGCUGAGGAGCCCUGAGGGGCAGUUCAGGAAAUUAAUUCUAUGAGAUCGCAAGGGGGAGGAGGAUAGGAAAGGGGGCACUCAGACGGCUGAAUGGGGAAGGGGAACAGCCCAGGGAGAGCGCCCACGCGGAAUCUCCUCCAGUAGAUAAAUUCUGUAGGCAUACCAAGAGUGGAAACCAUAAUAUACCAUAAAGAUUUCUCCAGAGCACACAGGCCCCUUUGAGUAGCUACUUCAGUAUAAUCUAAAGGACAUCACUCCAUAUGAACACCAUGGGCUACAAAGAAAGAUAUUGCUCUCAAUGGUGCCCAGAGACAUCUCACAUCUUCCAGCACAUUAAAGAACCACCCAAACCAUUCUCCAUGGGCUCUCCAGGUCAUUCCAAGAUUUUACUGCAUUGCUGCAGAACACCGCCACCUUUCUUGCCAGCUGGGGCUCCAUUACAAUGAAUCAGCAGCAAUGUUGGCAGCUGGGGUCGCUAAAUGUGAACGCUGGGGAUGGUGCUUACGUGGCAGAGGUGGAGAUGGAAUGAUUUGGAGAGGGUAACUAAUAAUAUACAACAUCUGAUGCAGAAGUGUUGCCAAUGAUUAAUUCUUAUAUUUUCCUCGUGUCUCAGGACAAGACAGUAAUACAUUGUGGUGAUGGAAUUGGUUGCACUGCAUUGAAUUUUAAAGAAAAAUAGAAAGGGAAGUAUUCAGUUUCAUUAGACCAGGUUCAAAUUUCUCCCUGACUUCUAUUUCAGCCUUCUGCUUCAGGGUCUAACUGGCCUGCCUGCGGCACCAUAUGCUUGCAUUUGACAUUGGUUUUACUAAUACCUUUGGAAAUAUAGAGCUAGAAGGAUUAUAUUGUAAAUCCUGAGAAGUAGAGUGUUACCGUGGGAAGGGCAAUGGAUUUGGAGUUCUGCUACUUAGGACCUGUGUGACCUUGAGUAAGUACUUAACCUCUUUGGGCCUCAACUUCCCCAUUUAUAAAAUGAAGGGGUUAGACUACAUGGCCUGAAAAGUCCCAUCCAGCUCUGAAUUUAUAAUUCUGUGACCUUCUCAUAUAUGUCUGUAAGGAACAGAGCUGGGAUUUGAACCCAGGCUGUUUAACUCCAAAGACUCAGCAUUUGUUUGAUUUCCCAACACUAUUUUCAAGGUGAAAAAGCUUUUUCAGUCAAAGUUAAGUGACAAAAGGUAACUUAGUCACCAAUAACUAUCUUGAAGCGGGC